This 524-nucleotide ribosomal RNA is filed under the name uncultured eukaryote. RNAcentral's name for it is "bacterial SSU rRNA". It matches the Rfam family "Eukaryotic small subunit ribosomal RNA", at positions 22 to 548 of the family's 1831-position model. The record is from RNAcentral.
AGCCAUAUGCUUGUCUUAAAGAUUAAGCCAUGUGUGUCCCAGUAUAAAUCUUAAACCGUCGAAACUGCGAAUGGCUCAUUAAAACAGUAGUGAUCUUUUUGGUGAUCGGGAGUUCUUCGGAUACCUGCGGUAAUUCCGGAGCUAAUACUUGCACAAUCGCGCAACUUUUCGGGAGCGUUGUAGUUAUUAGGUUCAGAACCAACCCGCCAUACGGUUGUUGGGUGAUUCACAAUAAAUGUGCGGAGCGUAGGACUUGUGUCGGCGCCGUGGCAUUCGAGUUUCUGACCUAUCAGCUUUGGGCGGUAGGGUAUUGGCCUACCGUGGCAUUGACGGGUAACGGGGAAUUAGGGUUCGAUUCCGGAGAGGGAGCCUGAGAAAUGGCUACCACAUCUAAGGAAGGCAGCAGGCGCGCAAAUUACCCAAUCCUAGCACAGGGAGGUAGUGACAAAAAAUAGCAAAGCAACCCGCAAUAGCGGUGUUGUUAUUGGAAUGAGUAGAUCUUAAACCCUUUUACGACUAUCGAU